GCGAAUCUCCAAAAAUUAGUCCCAGUUCAGAUUGCAGGCUGCAACUCGCCUGCAUGAAGUCGGAAUUGCUAGUAAUCGUGGAUCAGCAUGCCACGGUGAAUACGUUCCCGGGCCUUGUACACACCGCCCGUCACACCAUGGGAGUCGGUAACACCCGAAGCCUGUAGUCUAACCGCAAGGAGGACGCAGUCGAAGGUGGGAUUGAUGACUGGGGUGAAGUCGUAACAAGGUAUC
Molecule: ribosomal RNA, 234 nt
Filed under: uncultured bacterium
Lineage: Bacteria
Description: partial 16S ribosomal RNA
Rfam family: Bacterial small subunit ribosomal RNA
Source: RNAcentral